RNAcentral lists this ribosomal RNA (305 nucleotides) under uncultured bacterium. Its description in RNAcentral is "bacterial SSU rRNA". It matches the Rfam family "Bacterial small subunit ribosomal RNA", at positions 333 to 654 of the family's 1533-position model. The record is from RNAcentral.
UCGUGCCUACGGGGGGCAGCAGUGGGGAAUAUUGCACAAUGGGGGAAACCCUGAUGCAGCAACGCCGCGUGAGUGAGGAAGUAUUUCGGUAUGUAAAGCUCUAUCAGCAGGGAAUAGAAAAGAAGGUACCUGAAAAAGAAGCCACGGCUAACUACGUGCCAGCAGCCGCGGUAAUACGUAGGUGGCAAGCGUUGUCCGGAUUUACUGGGUGUAAAGGGCGUGUAGCCGGGCUGACAAGUCAGAUGUGAAAUCCGGGGGCUCAACCCCCGAACUGCAUUUGAAACUGUUGGUCUUGAGUAUCGGAG